AUAAAGUUUUAUUCUAGCUUAGGGGAUUAGUUUAUAGUUUUUAUAUAUGUAAAUUUUGUUUAAAUAAGUUAAUUGCAGUAUAUAUAUUUAAAAAUUAAUGAAAAUUAGAUUUAGGAAAUUGUAAUAAUUUUAACAAAAUUUGUGCCAGCAGUUGCGGUUAUACAAAUAAAGUGAUUAAUUGUUAUUAGUUUAUAAUAAAUAGUAAUAAAAAAUUUAUAAUUAAAAUUAUUAGGUGAAAUUUUAAUUUUAAGAGAGUUUAAUUAUUUUAUAUAAUUUAUUAAAUUUUUUUGAUAAACUAGGAUUAGAUACCCUAUUAUUAAUUAUAUAAAUUUUUAACUUGAUUAUUAAUAGUUAUAACCUUUAAAAUUAAAGAAUUUGGCGGUAUUUUAGUCUUUUUAGAGGAACCUGUUUAGUAAUUGAUAACCCACGAUUAAAUUAACUUAAAUUAGAAAUUUGUAUAUCGUCGUAGUUGAAUAUUUUAAAAGAAUUUCUAAUAUUCAAAAAUUUAUAUUAAAUAAUAAAUCAGAUCAAGGUGCAGUUUAUAUUUAAGAAUUAAAUGGGUUACAUUUAAUUUAUUUUUAGUUUAAAAUUUGUAAAGUUUUAAUAAAUUGGAUUUAAUAGUAAUUAUUUUUAUAUUUUUAUAAUGAGUAAGCUCUAAAAUAUGCACAUAUCGCCCGUCAUUCUCAUUAAAAUGAGACAAGUCGUAACAAAGUAGAGGUACUGGAAAGUGUUUCUAGUAAGAC
This 743-nucleotide non-coding RNA is filed under the name Staphylinoidea sp. 11 KM-2017. Lineage: Eukaryota; Metazoa; Arthropoda; Insecta; Coleoptera. The record is from RNAcentral.